AGCGUACACGGUGGAUGCCCUGGCAGUCAGAGGCGAUGAAGGACGUGCUAAUCUGCGAUAAGCGUCGGUAAGGUGAUAUGAACCGUUAUAACCGGCGAUUUCCGAAUGGGGAAACCCAGUGUGUUUCGACACACUAUCAUUAACUGAAUCCAUAGGUUAAUGAGGCGAACCGGGGGAACUGAAACAUCUAAGUACCCCGAGGAAAAGAAAUCAACCGAGAUUCCCCCAGUAGCGGCGAGCGAACGGGGAGCAGCCCAGAGCCUGAAUCAGUGUGUGUGUUAGUGGAAGCGUCUGGAAAGGCGUGCGAUACAGGGUGACAGCCCCGUACACAAAAAUGCACAUGCUGUGAGCUCGAUGAGUAGGGCGGGACACGUGGUAUCCUGUCUGAAUAUGGGGGGACCAUCCUCCAAGGCUAAAUACUCCUGACUGACCGAUAGUGAACCAGUACCGUGAGGGAAAGGCGAAAAGAACCCCGGCGAGGGGAGUGAAAAAGAACCUGAAACCGUGUACGUACAAGCAGUGGGAGCACGCUUAGGCGUGUGACUGCGUACCUUUUGUAUAAUGGGUCAGCGACUUAUAUUCUGUAGCAAGGUUAACCGAAUAGGGGAGCCGAAGGGAAACCGAGUCUUAACUGGGCGUUAAGUUGCAGGGUAUAGACCCGAAACCCGGUGAUCUAGCCAUGGGCAGGUUGAAGGUUGGGUAACACUAACUGGAGGACCGAACCGACUAAUGUUGAAAAAUUAGCGGAUGACUUGUGGCUGGGGGUGAAAGGCCAAUCAAACCGGGAGAUAGCUGGUUCUCCCCGAAAGCUAUUUAGGUAGCGCCUCGUGAAUUCAUCUCCGGGGGUAGAGCACUGUUUCGGCAAGGGGGUCAUCCCGACUUACCAACCCGAUGCAAACUGCGAAUACCGGAGAAUGUUAUCACGGGAGACACACGGCGGGUGCUAACGUCCGUCGUGAAGAGGGAAACAACCCAGACCGCCAGCUAAGGUCCCAAAGUCAUGGUUAAGUGGGAAACGAUGUGGGAAGGCCCAGACAGCCAGGAUGUUGGCUUAGAAGCAGCCAUCAUUUAAAGAAAGCGUAAUAGCUCACUGGUCGAGUCGGCCUGCGCGGAAGAUGUAACGGGGCUAAACCAUGCACCGAAGCUGCGGCAGCGACGCUGAUGCGUUGUUGGGUAGGGGAGCGUUCUGUAAGCCUGCGAAGGUGUGCUGUGAGGCAUGCUGGAGGUAUCAGAAGUGCGAAUGCUGACAUAAGUAACGAUAAAGCGGGUGAAAAGCCCGCUCGCCGGAAGACCAAGGGUUCCUGUCCAACGUUAAUCGGGGCAGGGUGAGUCGACCCCUAAGGCGAGGCCGAAAGGCGUAGUCGAUGGGAAACAGGUUAAUAUUCCUGUGCUUGGUGUUACUGCGAAGGGGGGACGGAGAAGGCUAUGUUGGCCGGGCGACGGUUGUCCCGGUUUAAGCGUGUAGGCUGGUUUUCCAGGCAAAUCCGGAAAAUCAAGGCUGAGGCGUGAUGACGAGGCACUACGGUGCUGAAGCAACAAAUGCCCUGCUUCCAGGAAAAGCCUCUAAGCAUCAGGUAACAUCAAAUCGUACCCCAAACCGACACAGGUGGUCAGGUAGAGAAUACCAAGGCGCUUGAGAGAACUCGGGUGAAGGAACUAGGCAAAAUGGUGCCGUAACUUCGGGAGAAGGCACGCUGAUAUGUAGGUGAAGUCCCUCGCGGAUGGAGCUGAAAUCAGUCGAAGAUACCAGCUGGCUGCAACUGUUUAUUAAAAACACAGCACUGUGCAAACACGAAAGUGGACGUAUACGGUGUGACGCCUGCCCGGUGCCGGAAGGUUAAUUGAUGGGGUCAGCGCAAGCGAAGCUCUUGAUCGAAGCCCCGGUAAACGGCGGCCGUAACUAUAACGGUCCUAAGGUAGCGAAAUUCCUUGUCGGGUAAGUUCCGACCUGCACGAAUGGCGUAAUGAUGGCCAGGCUGUCUCCACCCGAGACUCAGUGAAAUUGAACUCGCUGUGAAGAUGCAGUGUACCCGCGGCAAGACGGAAAGACCCCGUGAACCUUUACUAUAGCUUGACACUGAACAU
RNAcentral lists this ribosomal RNA (2085 nucleotides) under Escherichia coli. Its description in RNAcentral is "bacterial LSU rRNA". It matches the Rfam family "Bacterial large subunit ribosomal RNA", at positions 14 to 2124 of the family's 2925-position model. The record is from RNAcentral. Lineage: Bacteria; Pseudomonadati; Pseudomonadota; Gammaproteobacteria; Enterobacterales; Enterobacteriaceae.